AAGUCGUAACAAGGUCUCCGUUGGUGAACCAGCGGAGGGAUCAUUACCGAGUUUACAACUCCCAAACCCAAUGUGAACGUUACCAAACUGUUGCCUCGGCGGGAUCUCUGCCCCGGGUGCGUCGCAGCCCCGGACCAAGGCGCCCGCCGGAGGACCAACCAAAACUCUUAUUGUAUACCCCCUCGCGGGUUUUUUACUAUCUGAGCCAUCUCGGCGCCCCUCGUGGGCGUUUCGAAAAUGAAUCAAAACUUUCAACAACGGAUCUCUUGGUUCUGGCAUCGAUGAAGAACGCAGCGAAAUGCGAUAAGUAAUGUGAAUUGCAGAAUUCAGUGAAUCAUCGAAUCUUUGAACGCACAUUGCGCCCGCCAGUAUUCUGGCGGGCAUGCCUGUCCGAGCGUCAUUUCAACCCUCGAACCCCUCCGGGGGGUCGGCGUUGGGGAUCGGCCCUUUACGGGGCCGGCCCCGAAAUACAGUGGCGGUCUCGCCGCAGCCUCUCCUGCGCAGUAGUUUGCACACUCGCAUCGGGAGCGCGGCGCGUCCACAGCCGUUAAACACCCCAAACUUCUGAAAUGUUGACCUCGGAUCAGGUAGGAAUACCCGCUGAACUUAA
This 610-nucleotide ribosomal RNA is filed under the name Trichoderma virens. Its description in RNAcentral is "eukaryotic LSU rRNA". The stretch from base 247 to 400 matches the Rfam family "5.8S ribosomal RNA". Lineage: Eukaryota; Fungi; Ascomycota; Sordariomycetes; Hypocreales; Hypocreaceae. The record is from RNAcentral.